Molecule: ribosomal RNA, 784 nt
Filed under: uncultured bacterium
Lineage: Bacteria
Description: bacterial SSU rRNA
Rfam family: Bacterial small subunit ribosomal RNA
Source: RNAcentral
AGAGUUUGAUCCUGGCUCAGAACGUACGCUGGCGGCACGCCUAACACAUGCAAGUCGAACGAAGUAGCAAUACUUAGUGGCAGACGGGUGAGUAACAUGUGGGUAUCUACCCUUUGGCCUGGAAUAACACGAGGAAACUUGUGCUAAUACCGGAUAAGUCUUUACGGAGAAAGCUUUAUGCACCAUUGGAUGAGCCCGCACUUGAUUAGUUUGUUGGUAGGGUAAUGGCCUACCAAGACUAUGAUCAAUAGCUGAUUUGAGAGGAUGAUCAGCCACAUUGGGACUGAGACACGGCCCAAACUCCUACGGGAGGCAGCAGUGGGGAAUCUUGCACAAUGGAGGAAACUCUGAUGCAGCGGUGCCGCGUGAGUGAAGAAGGCCUUUGGGUUGUAAAGCUCUUUCGUCGGGGAAGAAAAUGACUGUACCCGAAUAAGAAGGUCCGGCUAACUUCGUGCCAGCAGCCGCGGUAAUACGAAGGGACCUAGCGUAGUUCGGAAUUACUGGGCUUAAAGAGUUCGUAGGUGGUUGAAAAAGUUGGUGGUGAAAUCCCAGAGCUUAACUCUGGAACUGCCAUCAAAACUUUUCAGCUAGAGUAUGAUAGAGGAAAGCAGAAUUUCUAGUGUAGAGGUGAAAUUCGUAGAUAUUAGAAAGAAUACCAACUGCGAAGGCAGCUUUCUGGAUCAUUACUGACACUGAGGAACGAAAGCAUGGGUAGCGAAGAGGAUUAGAUACCCUCGUAGUCCAUGCCGUAAACGAUGUGUGUUAGACGUUGGAAAUUUAUUUU